RNAcentral lists this ribosomal RNA (253 nucleotides) under uncultured bacterium. RNAcentral describes it as "partial 16S ribosomal RNA". It matches the Rfam family "Bacterial small subunit ribosomal RNA", at positions 524 to 776 of the family's 1533-position model. The record is from RNAcentral.
UACGUAGGGUGCGAGCGUUAAUCGGAAUUACUGGGCGUAAAGCGUGCGCAGGCGGUUGUGUAAGACAGGUGUGAAAUCCCCGGGCUUAACCUGGGAACUGCAUUUGUGACUGCAUAGCUAGAGUACGGUAGAGGGGGAUGGAAUUCCGCGUGUAGCAGUGAAAUGCGUAGAUAUGCGGAGGAACACCGAUGGCGAAGGCAAUCCCCUGGACCUGUACUGACGCUCAUGCACGAAAGCGUGGGGAGCAAACAGG